UUCUAAGGGCGGUGAAGUCAGACCGGAAGGACUGGUGGAGCGCUUAGAAGUGAGAAUGCCGGUAUGAGUAGCGAAAGAAGGGUGAGAAUCCCUUCCACCGAAUAUCUAAGGUUUCCUGAGGAAGGCUCGUCCGCUCAGGGUUAGUCGGGACCUAAGCCGAGGCCGAUAGGCGUAGGCGAUGGACAACAGGUAGAGAUUCCUGUACCAGUGCUAAUUGUUUAACCGAUGGGGUGACACAGAAGGAUAGGGAAUCGCACGAAUGGAAAUGUGCGUCCAAGCAGUGAGUGUGAGAAGUAGGCAAAUCCGCUUCUCGCGAAGCAUGAGCUGUGAUGGGGAAGGAAAUUAAGUACGGAAGUUCCUGAUUUCACGCUGUCAAGAAAAGCCUCUAGGAAGAGUAGUACUGCCCGUACCGCAAACCGACACAGGUAGAUGAGGAGAGAAUCCUAAGGUGAGCGAGAGAACUCUCGUUAAGGAACUCGGCAAAAUGACCCCGUAACUUCGGGAGAAGGGGUGCUCUAUUAGGGUGCAAGCCCGAGAGAGCCGCAGUGAAUAGGCCCAGGCGACUGUUUAGCAAAAACACAGGUCUCUGCAAAACCGUAAGGUGACGUAUAGGGGCUGACGCCUGCCCGGUGCUGGAAGGUUAAGAGGAGUGCUUAGCUUCGGCGAAGGUACGAAUUGAAGCCCCAGUAAACGGCGGCCGUAACUAUAACGGUCCUAAGGUAGCGAAAUUC
RNAcentral lists this ribosomal RNA (731 nucleotides) under Listeria monocytogenes. Its description in RNAcentral is "partial 23S ribosomal RNA". It matches the Rfam family "Bacterial large subunit ribosomal RNA", at positions 1239 to 1967 of the family's 2925-position model. The record is from RNAcentral. Lineage: Bacteria; Bacillati; Bacillota; Bacilli; Caryophanales; Listeriaceae.